This 497-nucleotide ribosomal RNA is filed under the name uncultured bacterium. RNAcentral describes it as "partial 16S ribosomal RNA". It matches the Rfam family "Bacterial small subunit ribosomal RNA", at positions 28 to 507 of the family's 1533-position model. The record is from RNAcentral.
GAUGAACGCUGGCGGCGUGCCUAAUACAUGCAAGUCGAGCGAACAGACGAGAAGCUUGCUUUUCUGAUGUUAGCGGCGGACGGGUGAGUAACACGUGGAUAACCUACCUAUAAGACUGGGAUAACUUCGGGAAACCGGAGCUAAUACCGGAUAAUAUUUUGAACCGCAUGGUUCAAAAGUGAAAGACGGUCUUGCUGUCACUUAUAGAUGGAUCCGCGCUGCAUUAGCUAGUUGGUAAGGUAACGGCUUACCAAGGCAACGAUGCAUAGCCGACCUGAGAGGGUGAUCGGCCACACUGGAACUGAGACACGGUCCAGACUCCUACGGGAGGCAGCAGUAGGGAAUCUUCCGCAAUGGGCGGAAGCCUGACGGAGCAACGCCGCGUGAGUGAUGAAGGUCUUCGGAUCGUAAAACUCUGUUAUUAGGGAAGAACAUAUGUGUAAGUAACUGUGCACAUCUUGACGGUACCUAAUCAGAAAGCCACGGCUAACUACGUG